Long non-coding RNA from Lagopus leucura (white-tailed ptarmigan), 2582 nucleotides. RefSeq lists it as uncharacterized. The record is from RefSeq and is a predicted model, not a curated record. The transcript has 2 exons. Lineage: Eukaryota; Metazoa; Chordata; Aves; Galliformes; Phasianidae.
GCCUCACCACUCUUUUGGAGAAGAAAUUUUUCCUAAUAUCUAACCUGAACAGCCCCUGGUGCAACUUGAACCCAUUACCUUUUAUCACUGUUACAUGGGAGAAGAGGCCGACCCCCACCUCACCACAACCUCCUUUCAGGGAGCUGUGGAGAGCAAUAAGGUCUCCUGCACCUCCUCUUCUCCAGGCUGAACAACCCCAGUUCCCUCAGCCCAUCCCCAUAAGAUUCAUGCUCCGGACCACUCACAUCUCAGCUGCCCUUUUCUGGACAUGCUCCAGGGCCUCAGUGUCUUUUUGAGGGGCCCAAAACAAACACUGUACUCAAGGUACAACCUCCCCAGAGCUGAGUACAGAAGCCCUUUAAGAAUCACUUUUCACCCUUGUUUUCCCAAUGGUAAGCUUAAGCCGUGAUGCAUUAUUUGAAGAAGGAUUCUCUUUUGGCUUAUAGUCCUGAGUCCUACUUGUUCUUUUUUUCUUUUUUAGCAGGGAAUAAUCUCAACAUCCCCUUGUGUUUGCUGAUAUUUCAAGGUGACAGAAUUGGCUGAAGUGAGCCAUGAAGGGCUAAACUGAGCCACUGGGAUCACUAUAGGAGGAACCAGAGGCAGUGCACAUGGACACCACUCCAGCAGCAGCCCAGAAUGGGAACUGGGACCCAAAGGAGCAGCUACUUCUCUGCUCAUUUCCUGCUUUUCGAGAAAAUGCUCUCAGUAGUUUGAAAAGAAUGCAGAAUAACAUCUUGCGUACUCCAUGUACCUCAACCUGCUUGAAAUCCCUCCAGCUGGGUAAUAAAGGCUGUUUUUCUGCCUUCAUUCAACCAACAUUCCUAAACCUCUGCAACAACCUACUUCUACUGCCAGCCUAUGUCACUACUCCAUCCAAAUGGAAAUAAAAUCUUUUAGGGUGGAAAAAUUGCAUGCUACCAAAACGUAUAUCUGCCCAUGCUCCCUGCAAUCACAGUGCUGUCUCUGGAACUCACAUCCCCUUCCUCCCUCUGUGAUGUUUCUCACAUUCAGCAGUCAGGAAAGACCUGUCCUGUGCAGGUACCACAUCCUUCACCUCUUCGUGCCAGGUGGGGGCAGCAGCCUUCAAACAAGCAGAUGGUGCUCACCUUCCUAUGGAUAUGAAUGGGAAGGAGAGAAGUAGAGUUCUGGGCCUCUUGAAUGAGUUCUGAGAUAAAUCUCUUAUAGAGAAGUCUGACCUCAAGGGCAGGGCAGGUGCAAGCUGGAAGAAGCAACUGGUUGUUGGCUGUGCUCUUCAGCUCUGCAGAUGUUACAUCUUUCCCAAAGCAGGACAGAAAAACAGAGAGGAAUGAAUGAUGAAAUCCUUUAGUAAAAAAAUGUUGUUUCUCUGUCCCCUCAGCCAUUCCCAUCUUAUAUGAGGUUAUUACUGCAACAUUAUUUAUGCUCCAAUCACAGGAAUUUUUUCAUAGUCAUGAAUAGCUUUGUAAAACUAAGAAAAGACUCAGAAGAAGCCAUUUUUUCCCUGUUUGAAGUCCUAACACACUUUAAGUUUCUGCAAUAAAACUGUCAGUCCAUAAAGUUGGGCUGCUAAGACCAUAGAUAAAAUGUAGUUAUUCUAAAGCAAUUGAGCUCCUUUGAAAAGCAAUGAUAGUUUCGAGGAACUCAGCACUAUUGAAAAGGCUUUCAAUUUAAGCCUGAAUUUUCCAGAGGAAUAAUGAACAGUAAAUUUCACUGACUUAAUUUUCAAAUGCCCAUGUUGAAAUAGCCUUAGGCGUCUGAUCACUCCUGCUGCCAGCUCUUAGACAUCCAGGAGUGAAAUUCAGCAGCUUAAGAUGCAGAUGCUGAAUCACUGCAUUUUACAGGUCUGUGUUUCCCAGCAAAAUGGCCACAAUUUUAGGUUACCGUGCAAAGCUGGUUUGAUAAACUGCAUCGUCCUUAGCAGGACUCUGGAUGUCCAGUACUGUGAGCAGUUGCAAAUGAAAGAAGCUGUGCUCCCAUGAUGACUUUUAGCUCUUUAAAUCGCAGGAUUAAGCAGGUAGAUGUGGCUUUAGACAUCCACGUUUGGACCUCCUGUCAAAGACAAAAGUGUUAUAAAAAUCAAUCUGAUGGGACUGCACAGCACCUGAUCGUCACCAGCACACUUUUAGUUUCUCUCUGUUGGUCUGAGCUUUAAAUGUACAUUAAAAAGAAUUGAGAAGUUGAAAUAAGCCAGUUACAACUCUCAAAAGAACCAUUUUUAAACACAGAAGCAUUCAGAGAACAAAACCUCCUUUUCAGCACUUCUGGCUCAUUCAUGGGGGCCAUUUCUUACAGUUCUGCUAAAUCAGUUGAGAAAGUCACCAAAGCAUAGCAGCAUCACAGUGUUCCUAUGAAAAAAGGCACCAAAGAUCCUUGAGAAAACCCUGAAUAGCGCAGAAAGCAAGAACAAAUGUUUUAUAUAUGUGGUAUUGUUAAAACUCCCAAGUGGCAUAAAUAUAAUAAACAAUAGUGAAGAAUGGGAUAUUUCUGUUUGUUUCCACACACUUGAGAUGACCUAACCUACCUCAGGCAUGGUUCCACUUUGUGACUUGUGAGUUAUUUGAUCGUUCCAAACUUGUGAAAAUAAACACUAUUAUUCUACUGUU